UACGGGAGGCAGCGGUGGGGAAUAUUGCACAAUGGGCGCAAGCCUGAUGCAGCCAUGCCGCGUGUAUGAAGAAGGCCUUCGGGUUGUAAAGUACUUUCAGUCGUGAGGAAGGUGUUAAGGUUAAUAACCUUAGCAAUUGACGUUAGCGACAGAAGAAGCACUGGCUAACUCCGUGCCAGCAGCCGCGGUAAUACGGAGGGUGCGAGCGUUAAUCGGAAUUACUGGGCGUAAAGGGCACGCAGGCGGUUAAUUAAGUUGGAUGUGAAAUCCCCGGGCUUAACCUGGGAAUGGCAUUCAAGACUGGUUAGCUAGAGUCUUGUAGAGGGGGUAGAAUUCCAUGUGUAGCGGUGAAAUGCGUAGAGAUGUGGAGGAAUACCGGUGGCGAAGGCGGCCCCUGGACAAAGACUGACGCUCAUGUGCGAAAGCGUGGGGAGCAAAC
This 439-nucleotide ribosomal RNA is filed under the name uncultured bacterium. Its description in RNAcentral is "bacterial SSU rRNA". It matches the Rfam family "Bacterial small subunit ribosomal RNA", at positions 340 to 773 of the family's 1533-position model. The record is from RNAcentral.